RNAcentral lists this unclassified non-coding RNA (300 nucleotides) under plant metagenome. Its description in RNAcentral is "partial contains small subunit ribosomal RNA, internal transcribed spacer 1, and 5.8S ribosomal RNA". The record is from RNAcentral.
UUUCCGUAGGUGAACCUGCGGAAGGAUCAUUAUUGAAUAAACCUGAUGUGGCUGUUAGCUGGCUUUUCGAAGCAUGUGCUCGUCCGUCAUCUUUAUCUCUCCACCUGUGCACAUUUUGUAGUCUUGGAUACCUCUCGAGGCAACUCGGAUUUUAGGGUCGCUGUGCUGUACAAGUCGGCUUUCCUUUCAUUUCCAAGACUAUGUUUUUAUAUACACCAAAGUAUGUUUAAAGAAUGUCAUCAAUAGGAACUUGUUUCCUAUAUAAUUAUGCAACUUUCAGCAACGGAUCUCUUGGCUCUC